RNAcentral lists this ribosomal RNA (265 nucleotides) under uncultured bacterium. RNAcentral describes it as "partial 16S ribosomal RNA". It matches the Rfam family "Bacterial small subunit ribosomal RNA", at positions 793 to 1055 of the family's 1533-position model. The record is from RNAcentral.
GUCCACGCUGUAAACGGUGAGUGCUGGGUGUGGGAGGUGUAAUGCCUUCUGUGCCGAAGCUAACGCGUUAAGCACUCCGCCUGGGGAGUACGGCCGCAAGGUUGAAACUCAAAGGAAUUGACGGGGCCCGCACAAGCGGUGGAGCAUGUGGUUUAAUUCGACGCAACGCGAAAACCUUACCUGGGCUUGACAUGGAGAGAAUUCGGAUGAAAGUCUGAAGUGCCUCGUAAGGGGAGCUCUCACACAGGUGCUGCAUGGCUGUCGU